Molecule: ribosomal RNA, 2192 nt
Filed under: Enterovibrio gelatinilyticus
Lineage: Bacteria; Pseudomonadati; Pseudomonadota; Gammaproteobacteria; Vibrionales; Vibrionaceae
Description: partial 23S ribosomal RNA
Rfam family: Bacterial large subunit ribosomal RNA
Source: RNAcentral
GGUUAAGUGACUAAGCGUACACGGUGGAUGCCUUGGCAGUCAGAGGCGAUGAAGGACGUAGUAACUUGCGAUAAGCGUAGAUAAGGCAGUAACAGCCACUUGAGUCUACGAUUUCCGAAUGGGGAAACCCACGUGCAUAAGCACGUAUCAUGCAGUGAAUACAUAGCUGUAUGAGGCGAACUCGGGGAACUGAAACAUCUAAGUACCCGAAGGAAAAGAAAUCAAUUGAGAUUCCGGCAGUAGCGGCGAGCGACCCCGGAUUAGCCCUUAAGCGGUUUAAGUGUUAGUGGAAUACUCUGGAAAGGGUAGCGAUACAGGGUGAUAGCCCCGUACACGACAAUGCUUUUAUCGUGAAAACGAGUAGGACGGGACACGUGUUAUCUUGUCUGAACAUGGGGGGACCAUCCUCCAAGGCUAAAUACUCCUGACUGACCGAUAGUGAACCAGUACCGUGAGGGAAAGGCGAAAAGAACCCCUGUGAGGGGAGUGAAAUAGAACCUGAAACCGUGUACGUACAAGCAGUGGGAGCCUCUUCGUGGGGUGACUGCGUACCUUUUGUAUAAUGGGUCAGCGACUUACUUUUAGUAGCAAGGUUAACCGAAUAGGGGAGCCGUAGGGAAACCGAGUCUUAACUGGGCGAAUAAGUUGCUAGGAGUAGACCCGAAACCGAGUGAUCUAGCCAUGGGCAGGUUGAAGAUUGAGUAACAUCAAUUGGAGGACCGAACCGACUAAUGUUGAAAAAUUAGCGGAUGACUUGUGGCUAGGGGUGAAAGGCCAAUCAAACUCGGAGAUAGCUGGUUCUCCCCGAAAUCUAUUUAGGUAGAGCCUCGGACGAAUACUACUGGGGGUAGAGCACUGUUAAGGCUAGGGGGUCAUCCCGACUUACCAACCCUUUGCAAACUCCGAAUACCAGUAAGUACUAUCCGGGAGACACACGGCGGGUGCUAACGUCCGUCGUGAAGAGGGAAACAACCCAGACCGCCAGCUAAGGUCCCAAAGUUAUCGCUAAGUGGGAAACGAUGUGGGAAGGCUCAGACAGCCAGGAUGUUGGCUUAGAAGCAGCCAUCAUUUAAAGAAAGCGUAAUAGCUCACUGGUCGAGUCGGCCUGCGCGGAAGAUGUAACGGGGCUAAGCGAUACACCGAAGCUGCGGCAUCAACUCUUCGGAGUUGUUGGGUAGGGGAGCGUUCUGUAAGCCGUUGAAGGUGAACUGUAAGGUUUGCUGGAGGUAUCAGAAGUGCGAAUGCUGACAUGAGUAACGAUAAAGGGGGUGAAAAACCUCCUCGCCGGAAGACCAAGGGUUCCUGUCCAACGUUAAUCGGGGCAGGGUAAGUCGACCCCUAAGGCGAGGCCGAAAGGCGUAGUCGAUGGGAAACGGGUUAAUAUUCCCGUACUUCUUACAAUUGCGAUGGGGGGACGGAGAAGGCUAGGUGGGCCUCGCGACGGUUGUCGAGGUUCAAGUGCGUAGGCAGGGGGAUUAGGCAAAUCCGGUUCCCUAUAUGCUGAGACACGAUGUCGAGCUACUACGGUAGUGAAGUCAUUGAUGCCAUGCUUCCGGGAAAAGCCUCUAAGCUUCAGAUUGUAAGGAAUCGUACCCCAAACCGACACAGGUGGUCGGGUAGAGAAUACCAAGGCGCUUGAGAGAACUCGGGUGAAGGAACUAGGCAAAAUGGUACCGUAACUUCGGGAGAAGGUACGCUGCCUCCGGUGAAGUCCCUUGCGGAUGGAGCUAGAGGCAGUCGCAGAUACCAGGUGGCUGCAACUGUUUAUUAAAAACAUAGCACUGUGCAAAAUCGAAAGAUGACGUAUACGGUGUGACGCCUGCCCGGUGCCGGAAGGUUAAUUGAUGGGGUUAUCUUCGGAGAAGCUCUUGAUCGAAGCCCCGGUAAACGGCGGCCGUAACUAUAACGGUCCUAAGGUAGCGAAAUUCCUUGUCGGGUAAGUUCCGACCUGCACGAAUGGCGUAAUGAUGGCCACGCUGUCUCCACCCGAGACUCAGUGAAAUUGAAAUCGCAGUGAAGAUGCUGUGUACCCGCGGCUAGACGGAAAGACCCCGUGAACCUUUACUACAGCUUGGCACUGAACAUUGACCCUACAUGUGUAGGAUAGGUGGGAGCCUUUGAAGCAUCGUCGCUAGAUGGUGUGGAGGCAAUCUUGAAAUACCACCCUUGUAUGCUUGAUGUUCUAACGUUGG